RNAcentral lists this ribosomal RNA (374 nucleotides) under uncultured organism. Its description in RNAcentral is "partial 16S ribosomal RNA". It matches the Rfam family "Bacterial small subunit ribosomal RNA", at positions 527 to 896 of the family's 1533-position model. The record is from RNAcentral.
AGAGGAUGCAAGCGUUAUCCGGAAUUAUUGGGCGUAAAGUGUCUGUAGGUGGCUUUUCAAGUCCGUCGUCAAAUCCCAGGGCUCAACCCUGGACAGGCGGUGGAAACUAUCAAGCUAGAGUACGGUAGAGGCAGAGGGAAUUUCCGGUGGAGCGGUGAAAUGCGUUGAGAUCGGGAGGAACACCAAGGGCGAAAGCACUCUGCUGGGCCGUUACUGACACUCAGAGACGAAAGCUAGGGGAGCAAAUGGGGAUUAGAUACCCCAGUAGUCCUAGCCGUAAACGAUGGAUACUAGGUGCUGUGCGUAUCGACCCCGUAUAGUACUGCAGCUAACGCGUUAAGUAUCCCCGCCUGGGAAGUACGUUCGCAAGAAUG